Molecule: transfer RNA, 75 nt
Filed under: Deltaproteobacteria bacterium
Lineage: Bacteria; Pseudomonadati; Myxococcota; Myxococcia
Description: tRNA-Gln
Rfam family: tRNA
About the family: Transfer RNA (tRNA) molecules are approximately 80 nucleotides in length. Their secondary structure includes four short double-helical elements and three loops (D, anti-codon, and T loops). Further hydrogen bonds mediate the characteristic L-shaped molecular structure. tRNAs have two regions of fundamental functional importance: the anti-codon, which is responsible for specific mRNA codon recognition, and the 3' end, to which the tRNAs corresponding amino acid is attached (by aminoacyl-tRNA synthetases). tRNAs cope with the degeneracy of the genetic code in two manners: having more than one tRNA (with a specific anti-codon) for a particular amino acid; and 'wobble' base-pairing, i.e. permitting non-standard base-pairing at the 3rd anti-codon position.
Source: RNAcentral
UGCCGGGUCGUCUAAUGGUAGGACACCUGACUCUGAAUCAGGCGGUUGGUGGUUCGAGUCCACCCCCGGCAGCCA